RNAcentral lists this ribosomal RNA (468 nucleotides) under uncultured bacterium. RNAcentral describes it as "partial 16S ribosomal RNA". It matches the Rfam family "Bacterial small subunit ribosomal RNA", at positions 28 to 507 of the family's 1533-position model. The record is from RNAcentral.
GGUGAACGCUGGCGGCGUGCUUAACACAUGCAAGUCGAACGGUGAACACGGAGCUUGCUCUGUGGGAUCAGUGGCGAACGGGUGAGUAACACGUGAGCAACCUGCCCCUGACUCUGGGAUAAGCGCUGGAAACGGCGUCUAAUACUGGAUAUGUGACGUGAUCGCAUGGUCUGCGUCUGGAAAGAAUUUCGGUUGGGGAUGGGCUCGCGGCCUAUCAGCUUGUUGGUGAGGUAAUGGCUCACCAAGGCGUCGACGGGUAGCCGGCCUGAGAGGGUGACCGGCCACACUGGGACUGAGACACGGCCCAGACUCCUACGGGAGGCAGCAGUGGGGAAUAUUGCACAAUGGGCGCAAGCCUGAUGCAGCAACGCCGCGUGAGGGAUGACGGCCUUCGGGUUGUAAACCUCUUUUAGCAGGGAAGAAGCGAAAGUGACGGUACCUGCAGAAAAAGCGCCGGCUAACUACGUG